UACGGAAGGCAGCAGUGGGGAAUAUUGCACAAUGGGCGCAAGCCUGAUGCAGCCAUGCCGCGUGUAUGAAGAAGGCCUUCGGGUUGUAAAGUACUUUCAGUCGUGAGGAAGGUGUUAAGGUUAAUAACCUUAGCAAUUGACGUUAGCGACAGAAGAAGCACCGGCUAACUCCGUGCCAGCAGCCGCGGUAAUACGGAGGGUGCGAGCGUUAAUCGGAAUUACUGGGCGUAAAGGGCACGCAGGCGGUUAAUUAAGUUGGAUGUGAAAUCCCCGGGCUUAACCUGGGAAUGGCAUUCAAGACUGGUUAGCUAGAGUCUUGUAGAGGGGGUAGAAUUCCGAUGUGUAGCGGUGAAAUGCGUAGAGAUGUGGAGGAAUACCGGUGGCGAAGGCGGCCCCUGGCAAAGGACUGACGCUCAUGUGCGAAAGCGUGGGGAGCGAAAC
This 441-nucleotide ribosomal RNA is filed under the name uncultured bacterium. RNAcentral's name for it is "bacterial SSU rRNA". It matches the Rfam family "Bacterial small subunit ribosomal RNA", at positions 340 to 774 of the family's 1533-position model. The record is from RNAcentral.